UCCCUGAUGGCUCAGACAGUAAAAGCGUCUGCCUGUAAUGCAGGAGACCUGGGUUGGAUCCCUGGGUCGGGAA
Non-coding RNA from Bos taurus (domestic cattle), 73 nucleotides. NCBI's taxonomy places the organism in Eukaryota, Metazoa, Chordata, Mammalia, Artiodactyla, Bovidae. The record is from Rfam.